AGCCAUCAAAGCAUUGUGACUUUUUUUCAGUUAAAUACAUGUUUGUAUAUAUAACAUAUUAGUUUAGCACAGAGCAUGAUAAAUUUCAUCUGGAGCUGAAAAACAAGGGGAUGCAAUCUUGGGAAGCCUUCUUUAGAAUUCUGCCUACCACAAACUCUAUCUACACCUACAAGAUAUCCACACAUCGUUCUGCCCCUUCUUGCCCAGGACAACCGCGCUGGGGGCUAGAGGUCAGGGAAGCUGAUGCUGCAGGUGAUGAAGUCGCCAACAAGGGCCGCACUAACAGUAAUGAACUCCCAAGAACCCUCUUUGCAUGCUCCUGAUAAAUAAUGAAGAUAUACAAAAUCUAAUUUAAAAAAAGACAACGAAUAAAAAUUUUGAAAGUGCUA
RNAcentral lists this long non-coding RNA (389 nucleotides) under Equus caballus (horse). RNAcentral describes it as "lncRNA (ENSECAG00000040561.3)". Lineage: Eukaryota; Metazoa; Chordata; Mammalia; Perissodactyla; Equidae. The record is from RNAcentral.